AUGGCAGCCCGAGGCCGUCAGAUCCGUCACCGUCGUCGUUCUUUUGGUCGAGGAAGCCGUCGUCCACGUGCUCCUUUUCACCACCACUGCUGGACGCUGGUGAGGCUAGCCUCCCCCUCCAAGCGCAUAGAUCGGGCUGGGCUUGACUGGGUUUUUGGAGUUCUCUUCUCGUUUCUUAGGAUCCUCAUGCUGUUUGACAAGGGGUUCCUUGCAAUGGGAAAUGUUCUCUUCGUCUCUGGUGUUUCUCUAACGAUUGGACUGAAGUCAACUUUCCAGUUCUUCACAAAGCCUAAGAAUCGCAAGGAUUGUCCAUCUUUCAGUUGGAUUAAGGUUUUCCUAUUGUCUGCAAAUGAAACGUACUUGAUGUACAUCUGGUGUUCUUUUGGCAUCAUACACUCCCCUGUGAAGUGCGUGUUUAAUCAUCAUGCAAUGGGCAUAUGGAUUUGA
Molecule: ribosomal RNA, 447 nt
Filed under: Triticum aestivum (bread wheat)
Lineage: Eukaryota; Viridiplantae; Streptophyta; Magnoliopsida; Poales; Poaceae
Description: partial small subunit ribosomal RNA
Source: RNAcentral